UUUCUUGGGGACAAGAAAGUGCUCCAAAAGAGGGUAUUGUUACAUACUAUAGAAAGAAGUAUAGGAAUAAAAAUAGGAAGUAAUGUAGAUGAGUAUAGCUGUUUCUAGAUAUUCUAGAAGAGGUUAUGAGCGGGAAAAGCCAUAGCAGUUCGUAAUUCUGUUGUAACUGAUAUUGCUAGAGAUUGUUAUAGUGACAGCUAAGGAAUUAGGCAGUUACACCUAAGGAAUUAGGCAGUUACACCAGCUAGAGCUAUAAAAUCUCAGUAGUUACCUUGUAAUUUUCAUCA
Molecule: unclassified non-coding RNA, 287 nt
Filed under: Hevea brasiliensis (rubber tree)
Lineage: Eukaryota; Viridiplantae; Streptophyta; Magnoliopsida; Malpighiales; Euphorbiaceae
Source: RNAcentral